Rhizoctonia solani AG-1 IA is the source of this 94-nucleotide transfer RNA. It matches the Rfam family "tRNA". From Rfam's summary of the family: Transfer RNA (tRNA) molecules are approximately 80 nucleotides in length. Lineage: Eukaryota; Fungi; Basidiomycota; Agaricomycetes; Cantharellales; Ceratobasidiaceae. The record is from Rfam.
GGGCAUGUAGCGCAGUUGGUAGCGCGCUCGCUUAGCAAAUGCGAACUGCAGAUACGCAUGCGAGAGGUCCUGGAUUCAAAUUCCAGCUUGUCCA